AGCAGCCGCGGUAAUUCCAGCUCCAAUAGCGUAUAUUAAAGUUGUUGCAGUUAAAAAGCUCGUAGUUGAAUUUCAGGCCUGGCUGGACGGUCCGCCCUUCGGGUGAGUACUGUCUGUGGUCGGGUCCUACCUUCUGGCGAAGCGUCAUGGCCUUAACCGGCCGUGGCGGGGAACCAGGACUUUUACUGUGAAAAAAUUAGAGUGUUCAAAGCAGGCAAUCGCUUGGAUACAUUAGCAUGGAAUAAUGGAAUAGGACAAUGGUUCUAUUUUGUUGGUUUCUAGGACCGUUGUAAUGAUUAAUAGGGAUAGUUGGGGGCAUUAGUAUUCAAUUGUCAGAGGUGAAAUUCUUGGAUUUAUUGAAGACUAACUACUGCGAAAAGCAUUUGCCAAGGAUGUUUUCAUUAAUCUAAGAACGAUAGUUAGGGAUCGAAGACGAUCAGAUACCGUCGUAGUCUUAACCAUAAACUAUAGCCGACUAGGGAUCGGAUGAUGUUAAUUUUUANGUACUUCAUUCGGCNCC
Molecule: ribosomal RNA, 520 nt
Filed under: uncultured Paraglomus
Lineage: Eukaryota; Fungi; Glomeromycota; Glomeromycetes; Paraglomerales; Paraglomeraceae
Description: SSU rRNA
Rfam family: Eukaryotic small subunit ribosomal RNA
Source: RNAcentral